This 44-nucleotide small RNA is filed under the name Micromonas pusilla. RNAcentral describes it as "partial Betaproteobacteria transfer-messenger RNA". Lineage: Eukaryota; Viridiplantae; Chlorophyta; Mamiellophyceae; Mamiellales; Mamiellaceae. The record is from RNAcentral.
AACGUGGAAGUCCGGCGUUUAAGACUCGCGCGGCGCUGGAGCGU